This 1738-nucleotide long non-coding RNA is filed under the name Drosophila guanche. The record is from RNAcentral. Lineage: Eukaryota; Metazoa; Arthropoda; Insecta; Diptera; Drosophilidae.
AUAAAACGAGGAGGGAACAGUUAGUAUAUCUGUACGAAUUUUUUGUUUUCCAAUUUUACAUUUGUUCUACAUCUGUCAUCUACAUCUACAUCAAUUCUCUCGCCAACACUUUUUGUUAGCUCACCACACUUCCCCAGUUACACACACGAGGCAGCGAGUGCGAGCGAGAAAGAAUGACAACACCCUGCUGGACACGAUGGGGUAAGCCAAUGCAAAUUAAUUUCUUCAUUUAGGCUACAAUAAUGCUCCAAUCGAAUCCCCAUUCGGUGUUCUUUUAGAUAUGGUCAUUCCCCAAGGAAUUCCAUUUAGAUCUCUCUUAUCUUCCAAACUGUGGAUACAGAAGAUUUUAGCCCGUUGUGAAGGCGAAAAUACUAUUGUUUCAGUGUUAUAUCACAGAAGUCUAGAGGCACAAUACGGUGGCUCUAGCUUUAUAAUCUCUGAUAACUAGCCGACAAACUAGACGGGCGGACGGACGGACAGAUAGACGGACAGACAGGCAGAUAUAGCAACUUUAUGGGGUCGGAAACGAUUCCUUCUGUGCGUUACAUACAUCCAAUUUCGAGCACAAAUACAAUAUACUCUAUUUAUUCUUCGAGUACCGGGUAUACCAACAAAACAAUGAAAACAGCUGCCUAAAUUAAACAUUUAAUACCCUACCAGAGCAGGGUAAUUGUUGCUUAAUUAUUUUAUAUAAAGUUGAGAAUCCGCUUAAAGCAGUCAGCUGGAAAGCCUCAAAAUGGAGGGACUCCUUUCCGUAAAAAAAUAAUAUUUAUGCUUCUCUGCGUGGUUAACUUCACCAAAAAUCAUGAAUAUGCUCUGCAAAAGUAUAAACAUUAGCUGCAACUAAAAACGGUUUUUGUUACGAGUAUUUGUAUUUGAAUUUUGAUUAUAUAAUUUGUUUGCUAAUUUUAUUUGUUAAAUAUGUAAAUUUUUUUUGGUUUUUUCGUGUUUGGGUUAAUUUUAUUUCUUGUCUAUUCGUCUGUCCAUCUUGAUGAGCACCUAAUCCUCAGAGACCAAAAGAGCUAGAGCAACCAACCAUCCAGACUUCUGUUACAAGUGAGUUUCACAAUUUCGCCCUGCCCCCUCCCGACACCACAAAAGGCGAAAAUCCAUUUCCUCAAUUUUCAAGAUAAGAGAAAGCUAAAAACUAAGUUCCGUAGAGAAUGGAAUAUAUCUAUCAGAUCCCCGAAUUAAAAUCGACUCGGAUCACUCAGGUUAUAGCCAGAAUCAUUUGCAGUGUCUUCCCCCACCCAUUCCAACAUCUCUGCCUAUGCUUGCUUGUUGUCAUUCUUGUCAUUGUUGUCAAUCAGACCAUUUCAGGAAAAGUUGCAUUGGUUCCUUGAGGGGAAAUCGUGUUGGGUAGUGUAAUCACAGUGGUUGGCAGAUCAUAGUACAUACAUACAUACAUACGUAUGUAAAUAUGCAUGAAACAUAAAAUGUGUACUUUCCCCAUAUAUUUGCGUGGGCUUAACUGUUGUGAUUAAAUGCUAAAUGUUGUGUUCUCUCUUUUUGUUUGUAUAGGUGCAUUAAUUGGGCGCCGGCACAGACGCUCCCCAGGCCAUUUGAUCCCAAGCCUCAUGAUGCCUCGGACCACCAAAUCCGCAAUUCCCCAAGUUAAUUAUGUAAGCAGCAUCGAAGGUGGCCGGCAUAUAUAGGGCUGGUUCGCCAAAGAUCAGGGCAGUCAAAUUCCAUCAAAAAUGCCACCCAUAUCGGUCAGUGAAAACCAUCAAGAACCACC